CACAAGCGGUGGAGCAUUGUGGUUUAAUUCGAAGCAACGCGAAGAACCUUACCAGGUCUUGACAUCCCGAUGCUAUUUCUAGAGAUAGAAAGUUACUUCGGUACAUCGGUGACAGGUGGUGCAUGGUUGUCGUCAGCUCGUGUCGUGAGAUGUUGGGUUAAGUCCCGCAACGAGCGCAACCCCUGCAUUCAGUUGCCAACGGUAAGGCCGGGCACUCUGGAUGGACUGCCGGCGACAAGCCGGAGGAAGGUGGGAUGACGUCAAGUCAUCAUGGCCCUUAUGUCCAGGGCGACACACGUGCUACAAUGGCCGGCACAGCGGGAAGCGAGGGGGCGACCUUGAGCGGAUCCCUCAAAGCCGGUCUCAGUUCGGAUUGCAGGCUGCAACUCGCCUGCAUGAAGCCGGAAUCGCUAGUAAUCGCGGAUCAGCAUACCGCGGUGAAUACGUUCCCGGGCCUU
This 458-nucleotide ribosomal RNA is filed under the name uncultured Streptococcus sp. RNAcentral describes it as "bacterial SSU rRNA". It matches the Rfam family "Bacterial small subunit ribosomal RNA", at positions 924 to 1382 of the family's 1533-position model. The record is from RNAcentral. Lineage: Bacteria; Bacillati; Bacillota; Bacilli; Lactobacillales; Streptococcaceae.